RNAcentral lists this small nuclear RNA (162 nucleotides) under Macleaya cordata. RNAcentral describes it as "U1 spliceosomal RNA". It matches the Rfam family "U1 spliceosomal RNA". From Rfam's summary of the family: U1 is a small nuclear RNA (snRNA) component of the spliceosome (involved in pre-mRNA splicing). Its 5' end forms complementary base pairs with the 5' splice junction, thus defining the 5' donor site of an intron. There are significant differences in sequence and secondary structure between metazoan and yeast U1 snRNAs, the latter being much longer (568 nucleotides as compared to 164 nucleotides in human). The record is from Rfam by way of RNAcentral. Lineage: Eukaryota; Viridiplantae; Streptophyta; Magnoliopsida; Ranunculales; Papaveraceae.
AUACUUACCUGGACGGGGUCAAUGGAUGAUCAAGAAGGUCCAUGGCCUAGGUUAGUGACCUCCAUUGCACUUAGGAGGGGUGCUCGCCUAAGAUCUCCCCAAUGAGGGAGAGUCUACGUCAUAAUUUGUGUUAGCGGGGGUACGCGUUCGCGCGGCCCCUGA